RNAcentral lists this ribosomal RNA (1491 nucleotides) under uncultured bacterium. RNAcentral describes it as "bacterial SSU rRNA". It matches the Rfam family "Bacterial small subunit ribosomal RNA". The record is from RNAcentral.
GAGAGUUUGAUCCUGGCUCAGGAUGAACGCUAGCUACAGGCUUAACACAUGCAAGUCGAGGGGCAGCAUGGUCUUAGCUUGCUAAGGCCGAUGGCGACCGGCGCACGGGUGAGUAACACGUAUCCAACCUGCCGUCUACUCUUGGACAGCCUUCUGAAAGGAAGAUUAAUACAAGAUGGCAUCAUGAGUCCACAUGUUCACAUGAUUAAAGGUAUUCCGGUAGACGAUGGGGAUGCGUUCCAUUAGAUAGUAGGCGGGGUAACGGCCCACCUAGUCUUCGAUGGAUAGGGGUUCUGAGAGGAAGGUCCCCCACAUUGGAACUGAGACACGGUCCAAACUCCUACGGGAGGCAGCAGUGAGGAAUAUUGGUCAAUGGGCGAGAGCCUGAACCAGCCAAGUAGCGUGAAGGAUGACUGCCCUAUGGGUUGUAAACUUCUUUUAUAAAGGAAUAAAGUCGGGUAUGCAUACCCGUUUGCAUGUACUUUAUGAAUAAGGAUCGGCUAACUCCGUGCCAGCAGCCGCGGUAAUACGGAGGAUCCGAGCGUUAUCCGGAUUUAUUGGGUUUAAAGGGAGCGUAGAUGGAUGUUUAAGUCAGUUGUGAAAGUUUGCGGCUCAACCGUAAAAUUGCAGUUGAUACUGGAUGUCUUGAGUGCAGUUGAGGCAGGCGGAAUUCGUGGUGUAGCGGUGAAAUGCUUAGAUAUCACGAAGAACUCCGAUUGCGAAGGCAGCCUGCUAAGCUGCAACUGACAUUGAGGCUCGAAAGUGUGGGUAUCAAACAGGAUUAGAUACCCUGGUAGUCCACACGGUAAACGAUGAAUACUCGCUGUUUGCGAUAUACUGCAAGCGGCCAAGCGAAAGCGUUAAGUAUUCCACCUGGGGAGUACGCCGGCAACGGUGAAACUCAAAGGAAUUGACGGGGGCCCGCACAAGCGGAGGAACAUGUGGUUUAAUUCGAUGAUACGCGAGGAACCUUACCCGGGCUUAAAUUGCAGAUGAAUUACGGUGAAAGCCGUAAGCCGCAAGGCAUCUGUGAAGGUGCUGCAUGGUUGUCGUCAGCUCGUGCCGUGAGGUGUCGGCUUAAGUGCCAUAACGAGCGCAACCCUUGUUGUCAGUUACUAACAGGUUCUGCUGAGGACUCUGACAAGACUGCCAUCGUAAGAUGUGAGGAAGGUGGGGAUGACGUCAAAUCAGCACGGCCCUUACGUCCGGGGCUACACACGUGUUACAAUGGGGGGUACAGAGGGCCGCUACCACGCGAGUGGAUGCCAAUCCCAAAAACCUCUCUCAGUUCGGACUGGAGUCUGCAACCCGACUCCACGAAGCUGGAUUCGCUAGUAAUCGCGCAUCAGCCACGGCGCGGUGAAUACGUUCCCGGGCCUUGUACACACCGCCCGUCAAGCCAUGGGAGCCGGGGGUACCUGAAGUGCGUAACCGCGAGGAGCGCCCUAGGGUAAAACUGGUGACUGGGGCUAAGUCGUAACAAGGUAGCCG